RNAcentral lists this ribosomal RNA (372 nucleotides) under Helops rossii. RNAcentral's name for it is "partial 12S ribosomal RNA". Lineage: Eukaryota; Metazoa; Arthropoda; Insecta; Coleoptera; Tenebrionidae. The record is from RNAcentral.
AGAUACCCUAUUAUUUUAAAUGUAGUUUUUAAACNUGAAUUAUUAUUAGUUAAGGUCUUUAAAAUUAAAAAAUUUGGCGGUAUUUUAGUCUGUUCAGAGGAACCUGUUCUUUAAUUGAUGGUCCACGAUAAUUUUUACUUUAAUUUUAAGUUUGCAUAUCGUCGUUUAUGAAAAUUUUAUUAGAGUUUUAAUUUUUUUGAUUUUUUAUUUGGAAGUAGUUCAGAUCAAGGUGUAGUUUAUGUUAAAGAUGGAAUGGGUUACAUUAUAUUUAUAUGUGGUUUUCUUAUUUAAAAUUUGGGAUAAAAUGGAUUUGAUAGUAAAUUUCUUGUUUUUGGAUUUUGAUUUAGCUCUAAAAUAUGCACACAUCGCCCG